CCUACGGGUGGCUGCAGUAAGGAAUAUUGGUCAAUGGACGGAAGUCUGAACCAGCCAUCCCGCGUGCAGGAAGAAGGUCCUAUGGAUUGUAAACUGCUUUUAGCAGAGACGAAACGCCUUCAUUUAUGGGGGUUUGACGGUAUCUGCGGAAUAAGCACCGGCUAACUCCGUGCCAGCAGCCGCGGUAAUCCGGAGGGUGCAGGCGUUAUCCGGAAUCACUGGGUCUAAGGGGUGCGUAGGCGGGGGAUGAGAAAGCCUUUAGCUUAACUACAGAAUUGCCAUUGAUACUGAUUUUCUUGAGUUGGGUUGAGGUUAGCGGAAUGUGACAUGUAACGGUGAAAUGUUUAGAUAUGUCAUGGAACACCGAUUGCGAAGGCAGCUAGCUGGGCCUUGAUUGACGCUGAGGCACGAAAGCGUGGGUAGCGAACAGGAUUAGAUACCCCUGUAGUC
RNAcentral lists this ribosomal RNA (450 nucleotides) under uncultured bacterium. RNAcentral's name for it is "partial 16S ribosomal RNA". It matches the Rfam family "Bacterial small subunit ribosomal RNA", at positions 338 to 795 of the family's 1533-position model. The record is from RNAcentral.